CUCAAGUCAGCAGCAUCAGGUGGUGGAAUGUGGUGUCCAGAAGAGAUAUCCAGUCUCCGGGUUUUUUCUAGUCAUUUCCUGGGAAGACACGGCUGAUGGAAGUCAUCUUAAGAGCAUGCAAACCAUGGACGAUAGCAAAGAUAACCAGGAGAGCUUCAAAGUGGAUUGUGGAAAAGCAAACUGAAGUUCAUAAGACAACAAACACAGUGUUACUGGGGAAAGUGAAGAAGCAAGAUACACGAGAGACUAAAGAUCAUAAUGUGUUCUGCG
RNAcentral lists this long non-coding RNA (270 nucleotides) under Rattus norvegicus (Norway rat). Its description in RNAcentral is "long non-coding RNA NONRATT003690". The record is from RNAcentral. Lineage: Eukaryota; Metazoa; Chordata; Mammalia; Rodentia; Muridae.